Mauremys mutica (yellowpond turtle) is the source of this 481-nucleotide long non-coding RNA. RefSeq lists it as uncharacterized. NCBI's taxonomy places the organism in Eukaryota, Metazoa, Chordata, Testudines, Geoemydidae. The record is from RefSeq and is a predicted model, not a curated record. The transcript has 3 exons.
AGCCUACCAGUGACAGUGGCAGGGGAUCCAGCUCUCAGCGCACUCCAAAAUCAACCACAAGAGCGGCCGGUUGCGCGCACUGAAUAAGUGGCGCUGACCAAAAACUUCUCUGAGGUGAAGGUUGAGAGGACGUUCAGCAAUGUAAGGGUGAAAACACGACAGCACUGUUGUAAUCAUCCCUAAAGCAAGCAUUACCAACGCAGGACAUUCAGAGUCAAGCGUACACUGAAAAGAACCCUAAACACAGUAAGGCUAGCAAGGCACACCCUUCAUUUUGUUAAACGUGAGCACCCAGGCCUCUUUUCUGUUCACCUGCAAUGUACGCUGAUCCCCCGCCUCCGUGGAAACAGAGCACCCGACGUCACCGGGUUCACCUCCGUGCAACGCUCUACUUAGCACAAGGCACUUGGACUGGUUUAGAGUAAAACCAAAGUGAAGUUUAUGCAACAGAGCAUGAGUUCCAGAUUCAAAUACAAGGCAA